Molecule: ribosomal RNA, 468 nt
Filed under: uncultured bacterium
Lineage: Bacteria
Description: partial 16S ribosomal RNA
Rfam family: Bacterial small subunit ribosomal RNA
Source: RNAcentral
GACGAACGCUGGCGGCGUGCUUAACACAUGCAAGUCGAACGGAAAGGCCCUGCUUUUGUGGGUUGCUCGAGUGGCGAACGGGUGAGUAACACGUGAGUAACCUGCCCUUGACUUUGUGAUAACUUCAGGAAACUGGGGCUAAUACCGGAUAUGAGCUCCUGCUGCAUGGUGGUGGUUGGAAAGUUUCGGCGGUUGGGGAUGGACUCGCGGCUUAUCAGCUUGUUGGUGUGGUAGUGGCUUACCAAGGCUUUGACGGGUAGCCGGCCUGAGAGGGUGACCGGCCACCUUGGGACUGAGAUACGGACCAGAAUCCUACGGGAGGCAGCAGUGGGGAAUAUUGCAGAAUGGGCGGAAGCCUGAUGCAGCAACGCCGCGUGCGGGAUGACGGCCUUCGGGUUGUAAACCGAUUUCGACUGUGACGAAGCGUGAGUGACGGUAAUGGGUAAAGAAGCAACGGCUAACUACGUG